RNAcentral lists this ribosomal RNA (454 nucleotides) under uncultured organism. RNAcentral's name for it is "partial 16S ribosomal RNA". It matches the Rfam family "Bacterial small subunit ribosomal RNA", at positions 330 to 800 of the family's 1533-position model. The record is from RNAcentral.
CGUACACUCCUACGGGAGGCAGCAGUGGGGAAUAUUGGACAAUGGGCGCAAGCCUGAUCCAGCCAUGCCGCGUGAGUGAUGAAGGCCCUAGGGUUGUAAAGCUCUUUCACCGGUGAAGAUAAUGACGGUAACCGGAGAAGAAGCCCCGGCUAACUUCGUGCCAGCAGCCGCGGUAAUACGAAGGGGGCUAGCGUUGUUCGGAUUUACUGGGCGUAAAGCGCACGUAGGCGGACUAUUAAGUCAGGGGUGAAAUCCCGGGGCUCAACCCCGGAACUGCCUUUGAUACUGGUAGUCUUGAGUUCGAGAGAGGUGAGUGGAAUUCCGAGUGUAGAGGUGAAAUUCGUAGAUAUUCGGAGGAACACCAGUGGCGAAGGCGGCUCACUGGCUCGAUACUGACGCUGAGGUGCGAAAGCGUGGGGAGCAAACAGGAUUAGAAACCCCAGUAGUCCCAUGA